Molecule: long non-coding RNA, 2537 nt
Organism: Equus caballus (horse)
Lineage: Eukaryota; Metazoa; Chordata; Mammalia; Perissodactyla; Equidae
Source: RefSeq, a predicted model, not a curated record
AAUCUUUAAAAAAAAAAAAAAAGAAAUAUAGUGUAUGUUUAAAGGUGACAAGUGCUAUAGGAAAAAAUAGAGCAAGGUAACAGACUUUGGAAAUAGCAGAGGAGGAAGUAGAGGAGGGUGGAGCUAGAGAGGGUUGACUGUACAUUAAGUAAGACGCCAGAGAAGGCCUUCUGGAGGAGAUUAAAUUUAAGCAAUGCCUAAAGGAGGUGAGGCCAAGCUAUACAGUUGGAGAAAAUGCUUUCCAGACAGAGAGACUAGCCAGCACAAACUCUAUAAGUCAGAAGUGUGCCUGGAGUUUUUGAGGAAAAGUUGAGGCCAGUGCAACUGGAACAAAGUGAGUGAAGGGGAGAGUAGUAAGAAAUGAAGUCCAGAAGGUUAGGGAGCAGGAGCAGAUCAAGUCAUGAAGAGCCUUCUGGGCCAUUGUAAGGACUUUGGCUUUUACUUUGAAUGAAAUGGGGAGUCACUGCAGGGUUUUGAGCAGAGAAGUAACAUGAAGUCACUUCUAUUUUAAAAGGAUCACUCUGGUUGCUGUGUUAAGAAUAGACUGUAGGGGAACAAGGAUAAAAGCAGCAUGACCUGUUAGGAGGCCAUUGCAGUAAUCCAAGCUGGAGAUGGUGGUGGCGGCUUGUACCACGGGGUAGCAGAGGUGACAGAAAGACAGAGUUCUGGAUCUAUUGAGGACAAGAUUUCCUGAUGGACUGAAUGUGAUAUAUGCCUCCAGAGCCUUUCAUCCUCCUGCUCCAGUCUGAAAUGGUUGCUCUCUAAGCCUGCUGCAAAGCUGACUCCCUGGGAUUGCCCUUCACUAGCAGCCUGGAGCGAUCUCUUCAAAAUUUAUAUCCUGCCGAUGAAGAGCACAGGCCGGGUUAGACUCUCAGCUCCACCCUUUAUUAUCUGAGUUUCCUUGAGAAAGUUACUUAACCUGCCUGCACCAAGGUUUCUAAAUCGGUAGAAAGACGAUGAUGACAUCUCAAAAGGUCAUUGUGAGACUCGAAGAAGAAAAGUACACUUAGUGUACUUAAUAAGCACUCAUUUGAUGUUAGCUAGUAGUGGUAUCAGCAGUGGUAACUCAGAUCAUGUCACUGCCCUACCUACCUCACUGACCUAGUUUCACACCACCCUGCUCACUAGGCAUUAGUGACUUGCCUAUUACCUAUCCACUAACUUUGUGGCUCCUGAUGGGAUGGCCUGAGGGAGGAGGGCCUUAGGGCCUUCAUACAGGCAAUUCCCUCUCUUGAAAUGUUCUCCCUGACCCUCCUUACUUGGCCUUGCUAACUCUUCAUCCUUUUGCUUCAGCUCAAAUGUCACUUGCUUCACUUCACUAAUCAGUUAGGAUCUAUGAGAUCCACAGGUAUACUCCCUUCAUAGAACCAGCAGUACUAUGAUUUCGUACCAAGAUGGGUAGAAGAAUCGUUCACAGAUAGUCUUCACGCAGAUUACACUGACAUCUGUUUUGAUGGGUAGGCGCUUAUGCUGUGCACCCUGUUAAAUAUUUUGAAUAUCAUCCUUGUGUAGAAUCUGUUAUUUCCUUCAAAGCAAUUAUCACAAUCAAUUUGCAUAUACUAUAUAUAGUAUAUACACAGAAAUACAUAUAUAUGUACUAUAUAUAUAUUAGAGAGAGCUGUUUCUUCUCUACACUAUGCUCCAUGCAUGUAGAGAUAUAUAUGUUUUGUUCAUCCUGUAUAUCUAAUGCCUAAUAAAACAGUUGGCACAUAAUUGGUGUACAAUGUAAUGAAUAUUUGUUGAAAGAAUGAAUUUUUUUGGCAACUCCUGGAAAAAUUAAACUGGGGAUGUGGCAACUAGUCUAGGUCCUGAUAGAACUGGAAACAGACUCUUGGGCAUGGGGGUAGGCUAGGUAAGUUGCUAAGAAAAGACUGGUUACAGGGUUGUUCCAAUCUCUCACCCACCUGAGCUGCUUGAGUUGAUAAGGAGGUAGCAGGUGCCAAAGAAAACUUGCUUCCUCAUCCUACACUAUUUCACUCAUCUCUGGCUGGUUUGGCUUUCCCUAUGGGAUCAGUUCUGUGGUCUCUCUACAUGCAAGGGGACCCACGUGGCUUGGCUCCACUGGGAACCCAGGGCUGGGAAGCCAAAUAGCCCAAAUUCUUCUCACGAAUUGUGGUCAGACUGUUGCUGUCGGUCUGCAGGUGAUGUCCCCAUCCUUCAAGUCCAGUUUCCUCAUCUUUCUCACUUUAUAUCUAGGGUCCCUAAACCCUGCCUCAUGGCCUUCUCUGUUUCAGAUCCCUGGGUUCUCAUUCUCUCUAAUUUGUUCCCUAACUCUCAACUCUGUGCUGUGUUUAAAUGGAAGUAUUUUCUUUCCCCCCUGGCUUUUGGCCAGCAGCUUCAGUUCUUCACCAUGUAGGCCUCUCCUCAUGACAUGGCAGCUGGCUCCUCCCGACAUGGCAGCUGGCUCCUCCCAGAGUCAGUGAUCCAAGAGAGAGAGGAAAGCAGAAGCCACAAUGUCUUUUAUGAUUUAGCAUCAGAAGUGACAUACCAUCACUUCUGCCAUAUUCUUUUUUUUUUGGGGGGGGAGGAGGAUUAGC